CUACGUAGGGGGCGAGCGUUGUCCGGAAUGACUGGGCGUAAAGGGCGUGUAGGCGGCCUGAUAAGUCUGGAGUGAAAGUCCUGCUUUCAAGGUGGGAAUUGCUUUGGAGACUGUCGGGCUUGAGUGCGGAAGAGGUAAGUGGAAUUCCCAGUGUAGCGGUGAAAUGCGUAGAGAUUGGGAGGAACACCAGUGGCGAGGGCGACUUACUGGGCCGUAACUGACGCUGAGGCGCGAAAGCGUGGGGAGCGAACAGGAUUAGAUACCCUGGUAGUCCACGCGGUAAACGAUGAAUGCUAGGUGUAGGGGGUAUCGACCCCUCCUGUGCCGGAGUAAACACAAUAAGCAUUCCGCCUGGGGAGUACGGCCGCAAGGUUGAAACUCAAAUGAAUUGACGGGG
Molecule: ribosomal RNA, 397 nt
Filed under: uncultured bacterium
Lineage: Bacteria
Description: partial 16S ribosomal RNA
Rfam family: Bacterial small subunit ribosomal RNA
Source: RNAcentral